UUCCUGUACUAUGAUAUGACAGAACUGUGGGGACACGUGCAGAGAGCGGAAGCCGGGAAUGGGAUCCCGGUGCAAGCGAGGUACCGGCCGCAUUGGAAAAACCGUGCGGCAAUGGGAAGACGUGAUGCGGAGUGAAGUUUAGUAAUGAAGUCCGUGAGCUGUGCGUCAAGAAAAGCCGCUAUUGUUCAUACCAUACCCGUACCGUAAACCGACACAGGUGGAUGAGGAGAGAAUCCUAAGGCCGGCGGAAGAAGCAUUGUCAAGGAACUCGGCAAAAUGACCCCGUAACUUCGGGAGAAGGGGUGCCUGCGAGAGCAGGCCGCAGAGAAUAGGCUCAAGCAACUGUUUAGCAAAAACACAGGUCUAUGCGAAACCGAAAGGUGAGGUAUAUGGGCUGACGCCUGCCCGGUGCCGGAAGGUUAAGAGGAGAGGUUAGCGCAAGCGAAGCUUUGAAUUUAAGCCCCAGUAAACGGCGGCCGUAACGAUAACGGUCCUAAGGUAGCGAAAUUCCUUGUCGGGUAAGUUCCGACCCGCACGAAAGGCGUAAUGAUUUGAGCGCUGUGUCGACAAUGCAUCCGGUGAAAUUGAAGUACCAGUGAAGAUGCUGGUUACCUGCGCCAGGACGGAAAGACCCCAUGGAGCUUCACUCCAGUUUGGUACUGGGAUCCGGUACUGCAUGUACAGGAUAGGUGGGAGGCUAUGAAUCGGUAACGCCAGUUGCCGAGGAGCCGCUGUUGGGAUACCACCCUUGCAGUAUUGGGUUUCUAACCAGCCGCCGUGACCCGGCGGUGGGACAAUGCCAGACGGGGAGUUUGACUGGGGCGGUCGCCUCCGAAAGGGUAUCGGAGGCGCCCAAAGGUUCCCUCAGGAUGGACGGAAACCAUCCAAAGAGUGCAAAGGCAGAAGGGAGCUUGACUGCGACACCGACGGGUGGAGCAGGUACGAAAGUAGGGCUUAGUGAUCCGGUGGUAUUAAGUGGGAAUGCCAUCGCUCAACGGAUAAAAGCUACCCUGGAUAACAGGCUUAUCACUCCCAAGAGUUCACAUCGACGGAGUGGUUUGGCACCUUGGUGUCGGCUCAUCGCAUCCUGGGGCUGUAGUAGGUCCCAAGGGUUGGGCUGUUCGCCCAUUAAAGCGGUACGCGAGCUGGGUUCAGAACGUCGUGAGACAGUUCGGUCCCUAUCCGGCGUGGGCGUAGGAUAUCUGAGAGGAGCUGUCCUUAGUACGAGAGGACCGGGAUGGACGGGCCGCUGGUGCACCGGUUAGACUGCCAAGUCUAUAGCCGGGUAGCCAAGCCCGGAAGGGAUAAACGCUGAAGGCAUCUAAGCGUGAAGCCCCCCUCAAGAUGAGAUAUCCCAUCCGAAAGGAGUAAACCCCCUUGAAGACGACGAGGUCGAUAGGGCAGAGGUGGAAGUGUGGUAACACAUGGAGCUGACUGCCACUAAUAGGGUGAGGGCUUGACCG
Molecule: ribosomal RNA, 1463 nt
Filed under: metagenome
Description: bacterial LSU rRNA
Rfam family: Bacterial large subunit ribosomal RNA
Source: RNAcentral